This is a long non-coding RNA of Mandrillus leucophaeus (drill), 751 nucleotides long. RefSeq lists it as uncharacterized. Lineage: Eukaryota; Metazoa; Chordata; Mammalia; Primates; Cercopithecidae. The transcript is spliced from 2 exons. The record is from RefSeq and is a predicted model, not a curated record.
GCCCUAAAUGAUUGCCUGCUCAGCAAAAUAAAGGCCCAGUGUGGAAGCCAGAACUUGCAUUUGAAGGAUGGGAAGGAUGGGAAGGAUGGGCUGAGGAGGGCCCAUCAGCAGCAGCCGGAGAGGGAGGCGGCCAUGGAGACUUGGAGCGUUCCCGUUUCUUCCAGAGCUCCGUCCCGAGAGCGCUGCGGAAUAAGGGAGGAGCGUCCUGCUUCCCGGCUGCCCUGUUGCUGUCGGAGUCACAGGAUGGCGGCCGUCGUCCUGCCCCCGACUGCUGCUCCAUCUUCCCCGUUCCCAGCCUCUCAGCAAAAAGGACACACAGAGAGCGGAGAGCUGGUUGAUGAGCUCCUGACAAGCUGGCUACGGGUGAGUAGGAUGCUCCUUUUCCCAAGUCAUUACUCCUUUGACUAGAAGGUUAGACUUGGUACCUUCCAGCAGCCUGGAGCCUCAUGGCCAAACCAGGUCCUCAGGCGUCCCAGGAUUUCCAGGCAUCUGAUGGAGGGUGAGGGCUGCCCAGAAGAUGUCAGUGUGUGUCAACGUUUACUACAGGUUCAGAGCCCCCUCCAGGUUCCCUAAGUACAUCAUGUGCUCCUGCGAGUUUUAAGGGAAAGCCAAGUAAAGACAUGACAAUGUUCUAAGCCCAAGCGAUGAAUGAAGGCCUUAUGGAAAUCAUUCAUUCACUUACCAAGUAUUUCUCCGAUUUCUGCCGUGUCACGGGCCCGUGCUCCCCUGGAGACUGAGGGAAACGAGGUCA